UGAUUUUAGUGCUUGCACUAAAUGAAACUAGAUACAAGCGAGCGGCGGACGGGUGAGUAACACGUGGGUAACCUGCCCAAGAGACUGGGAUAACACCUGGAAACAGAUGCUAAUACCGGAUAACAACACUAGACGCAUGUCUAGAGUUUGAAAGAUGGUUCUGCUAUCACUCUUGGAUGGACCUGCGGUGCAUUAGCUAGUUGGUAAGGUAAUGGCUUACCAAGGCGAUGAUGCAUAGCCGAGUUGAGAGACUGAUCGGCCACAUUGGGACUGAGACACGGCCCAAACUCCUACGGGAGGCAGCAGUAGGGAAUCUUCCACAAUGGACGAAAGUCUGAUGGAGCAACGCCGCGUGAGUGAAGAAGGGUUUCGGCUCGUAAAGCUCUGUUGGUAGUGAAGAAAGAUAGAGGUAGUAACUGGCCUUUAUUUGACGGUAAUUACUUAGAAAGUCACGGCUAACUACGUGCCAGCAGCCGCGGUAAUACGUAGGUGGCAAGCGUUGUCCGGAUUUAUUGGGCGUAAAGCGAGUGCAGGCGGUUCAAUAAGUCUGAUGUGAAAGCCUUCGGCCCAACCGGAGAAUUGCAUCAGAAACUGUUGAACUUGAGUGCAGAAGAGGAGAGUGGAACUCCAUGUGUAGCGGUGGAAUGCGUAGAUAUA
Molecule: ribosomal RNA, 657 nt
Filed under: uncultured Bacilli bacterium
Lineage: Bacteria; Bacillati; Bacillota; Bacilli
Description: bacterial SSU rRNA
Rfam family: Bacterial small subunit ribosomal RNA
Source: RNAcentral